RNAcentral lists this ribosomal RNA (429 nucleotides) under Chloroflexota bacterium. RNAcentral describes it as "Chloroflexi bacterium partial 16S ribosomal RNA". It matches the Rfam family "Bacterial small subunit ribosomal RNA", at positions 355 to 776 of the family's 1533-position model. The record is from RNAcentral. Lineage: Bacteria; Bacillati; Chloroflexota.
UGGGGAAUAUUGCACAAUUGGCGCAAGCCUGAUGCAGCCAUGCCGCGUGUAUGAAGAAGGCCUUCGGGUUGUAAAGUACUUUCAGCGGGGAGGAAGGGAGUAAAGUUAAUACCUUUGCUCAUUGACGUUACCCGCAGAAGAAGCACCGGCUAACUCCGUGCCAGCAGCCGCGGUAAUACGGAGGGUGCAAGCGUUAAUCGGAAUUACUGGGCGUAAAGCGCACGCAGGCGGUUUGGUAAGUCAGAUGUGAAAUCCCCGGGCUCAACCUGGGAACUGCAUCUGAUACUGGCAAGCUUGAGUCUCGUAGAGGGGGGUAGAAUUCCAGGUGUAGCGGUGAAAUGCGUAGAGAUCUAGGGGAAUACCGGUGGCGAAGGCGGCCCCCUGGACGAAGACUGACGCUCAGGUGCGAAAGCGUGGGGAGCAAACAGG